RNAcentral lists this ribosomal RNA (481 nucleotides) under uncultured bacterium. RNAcentral describes it as "partial 16S ribosomal RNA". It matches the Rfam family "Bacterial small subunit ribosomal RNA", at positions 28 to 507 of the family's 1533-position model. The record is from RNAcentral.
GACGAACGUUGGCGGCGUGCUUAAUACAUGCAAGUCCACUGAAGCAGUGGUAGCAAUAUCGCUGUGGAGGUGGCGCACGGGUGAGUAACACGUAGGUAAUCUGCCUUCAGGUCUGGCAUAACUCCGGGAAACCGGGGCUAAUAGCAGAUGAUGCAGCGGCUCGACAUCGAGACAGUUGUCAAAGCUAUGGCGCCUGAAGAUGAGCCUGCGUCUGAUUAGCUAGUUGGCGGGGUAACGGCCCACCAAGGCAACGAUCAGUAGCUGGUCUGAGAGGAUGAUCAGCCACACUGGAACUGAGACACGGUCCAGACUCCUACGGGAGGCAGCAGUAAGGAAUAUUGCUCAAUGGGAGAAAUCCUGAAGCAGCAACGCCGCGUGAGGGACGAAGGGCUUUUGCUUGUAAACCUCUGUAGUGAGAGAAAAAAAUCCCAAUCUUUGGGACAUGAUGGUAUCUCAAAAGUAAGCCCCGGCUAACUACGUG